RNAcentral lists this ribosomal RNA (595 nucleotides) under uncultured fungus. RNAcentral's name for it is "eukaryotic LSU rRNA". The stretch from base 241 to 394 matches the Rfam family "5.8S ribosomal RNA". The record is from RNAcentral. Lineage: Eukaryota; Fungi.
AAGUCGUAACAAGGUCUCCGUAGGUGAACCUGCGGAGGGAUCAUUACACAAUAACAAGGCGGGCUGGACACCCCCCGCUGGGCACUGCUUCACGGCGUGCGCGGCGGGGCCGGCCCUGCUGAAUUAUUCACCCGUGUCUUUUGCGUACUUCUUGUUUCCUGGGUGGGCUCGCCCGCCCUCAGGACCAACCACAAACCUUUUGCAAUAGCAAUCAGCGUCAGUAACAACGUAAUUAAUUACAACUUUCAACAACGGAUCUCUUGGUCCUGGCAUCGAUGAAGAACGCAGCGAAAUGCGAUACGUAGUGUGAAUUGCAGAAUUCAGUGAAUCAUCGAAUCUUUGAACGCACAUUGCGCCCUUUGGUAUCCCAAAGGGCAUGCCUGUUCGAGCGUCAUUUGUACCCUCAAGCUUUGCUUGGUGUUGGGCGUCUUUUGUCUCCAGUUCGCUGGAGACUCGCCUUAAAGUCAUUGGCAGCCGGCCUACUGGUUUCGGAGCGCAGCACAAGUCGCGCUCUUUGCCAGCCAAGGUCAGCGUCCAGCAAGCCUUUUUUUCAACCUUUGACCUCGGAUCAGGUAGGGAUACCCGCUGAACUUAA